Molecule: non-coding RNA, 1633 nt
Organism: Poecilia reticulata (guppy)
Lineage: Eukaryota; Metazoa; Chordata; Actinopteri; Cyprinodontiformes; Poeciliidae
Source: RefSeq, a predicted model, not a curated record
AUGGCAGGGCAGACUUCUUAUUAUCUCUAGUCCUGAGCUCUGAUUGGUUCAGACUGUGGGAAACCUCUUCCAGACCAAAACCCACACAUCUAGAUGGAGAUGAGGAACUAUAAAUAGGAGAGUGAAGGAAGCAGAGAUCAGACUCAGAAAUCCAACCAUGAUACCUUCAGACUGCAGCAACGGACAGUUCUCAGGCGCAUCUGGUUCUGAACCACAAGCACAGAAAGCCUCUGGUGAAAGAACUUGCAGAAAGCGAAUCAACAGCAGCGUGGAACAGCUCAAGUCUCUYCUGGGUCCAGAGUUCCUCAAACAGCAGCCAGACUCCAAGCUGRAGAAAGCAGACAUCCUGGAGAUGCAGUGGAGAAACACUUUCUGUUCAAAGAUAAAGUGAAGYCACAGCCCCCAAAAAGACCACUGAACCACUUCUACAAGUUGCUUCCUCUGAAGAAAACUUGACAGGCUGGCUUCUCUGCUCUCAGCGCCACAGUCCAGACCAGCUUCUAUGAAGACAAGAGUUCAGUCAACAGCGCCCUCUGGAGGCCAUUGUAGAAAUCUACAGAUUUGAAUGAAAACUACUCAAACUAAGACCAUAUAGGUCCGACAUUAUUCAGCUAAAUUUCUCAGACUUUUGUUGGAAUAUUGCUCAUUUUGAUUCCGUUUGAAUCGUCAGUUUUUSAAAACAUUAUAUUUCCUUAGGAAAUUAUGUCUUUCAUGUUGAGAAAGAUUGAAGCAAGAAGCUAAAGACCAUGUUGGUCAAAGAUUACRGACACUGGGAUUAGUGAAAUUCAAAGCCUGAUUUCUCUGCUUAAACAGAAAAUUACUAAGCUGCAUUGAAAUGAAAUGAGUGUAUUUUUGUCUGUCAGAUUUAAAAGUAUUUUCAUUCAGUUUUAUUUGGAUAGAAAUUUUACUUUUGUUUUAAAUGCACUCAGGUCACCCAAACCUUCUUUCAUUUAUGUUUUUUUACUUUAAGUUUUUCUUUCUUAUGGAAAGACGGGUCUCUGGGUAUUGAUCUUUUAUCAGAUCUAAAUUUGUACUUUCGACCAUGUUGGUCAAUGAUAAAUGAAACUGAAAUGUUUGAAAUUCAAAACUGAUUCCUCUGUUGUACAGAGGGUUGUUUAACUGAGCAGAAACUGAUUAUUUUCAGAAAGCUUUGAUCUCUCAAAUCUGAAAGUGUUAUUCUUUUGUCUUAAAAGAUACCAAGUUUUAUCUUAGAGUGUACCGAGUUCACUCAAGAUAUAUUUUAUUCUUGCAUUGUAAAUUGUAAAUUCAUGUCCUAUGGAAACACUGAAUCAUUGCAUAAUGACUUUUCAGAAAAUCAGACUUUCCCCCUUUUAUUUAAAAGGAUUUCUAGGAAGCGCGAUUCUGUCUUAAUUGUUUAUGAACUUGCAUUUCGCAAAAAGAAAUAUUGAAUUCUCAUGUUGUGAAGCCUAUUGUGAAUGUUACAUCACAAAAUGUUCUUGUCUUUCAUAAAGACAAUUGUCCCUUCACUCAUUCCGAGUAAAGCGUCAUGGAGAUUUUCCCAAGUUGUUGUUCUGAUGUAUCAUCAUAGUUCUGUUACUUCAGUGGAAGAUGUCGUACUUUUAUUUCAGUUUCUCUUAACACCUUAUAUAAAAUAAAAUCAGAUACAUUUGCA